AUUGAACGCUGGCGGCAGACCUAACACCUGCAAGUCGCACUAGUGGCGGACGGGUGAGUAAUGUCUGGGAAACUGCCCGAUGGAGGGGGAUAACUACUGGAACCGGUAGCUAAUACCGCAUACCAUCGGAUGUGCACAGAUGGGAUUAGCUUGUAGGUGAGGUAACGGCUCACCUAGGCGACGAUCCCUAGCUGGUCUGAGAGGAUGAUCAGCCACACUGGAACUGAGACACGGGCCAGACUCCUACGGUAGGCAGCAGUGGGGAAUAUUGGACAAUGGGCGCAAGCCUGAUCCAGCCAUACCGCGUGGUUGAAGAAGGCCUUCGGGUUGUAAAGCCCUUUUGUUGGGAAAGCGGUACCCAAAGAAUAAGCACCGGCUAACUUCGUGCCAGCCGCCGCGGUAAUUC
This 406-nucleotide ribosomal RNA is filed under the name uncultured bacterium. RNAcentral's name for it is "partial 16S ribosomal RNA". It matches the Rfam family "Bacterial small subunit ribosomal RNA", at positions 30 to 526 of the family's 1533-position model. The record is from RNAcentral.